Molecule: ribosomal RNA, 465 nt
Filed under: Vreelandella stevensii
Lineage: Bacteria; Pseudomonadati; Pseudomonadota; Gammaproteobacteria; Oceanospirillales; Halomonadaceae
Description: partial 16S ribosomal RNA
Rfam family: Bacterial small subunit ribosomal RNA
Source: RNAcentral
CCUACGGGAGGCUGCAGUGGGGAAUAUUGGACAAUGGGCGAAAGCCUGAUCCAGCCAUGCCGCGUGUGUGAAGAAGGCCUUCGGGUUGUAAAGCACUUUCAGUGGGGAAGAAAGCCUUGGGGCUAAUACCCUCGAGGAAGGACAUCACCCACAGAAGAAGCACCGGCUAACUCCGUGCCAGCAGCCGCGGUAAUACGGAGGGUGCGAGCGUUAAUCGGAAUUACUGGGCGUAAAGCGCGCGUAGGCGGUCUGAUAAGCCGGUUGUGAAAGCCCCGGGCUCAACCUGGGAACGGCAUCCGGAACUGUCAGGCUAGAGUGCAGGAGAGGAAGGUAGAAUUCCCGGUGUAGCGGUGAAAUGCGUAGAGAUCGGGAGGAAUACCAGUGGCGAAGGCGGCCUUCUGGACUGACACUGACGCUGAGGUGCGAAAGCGUGGGUAGCAAACAGGAUUAGAUACCCGAGUAGUC